CCUACGGGCGGCAGCAGUGGGGAAUAUUGGACAAUGGGCGAAAGCCUGAUCCAGCCAUGCCGCGUGUGUGAAGAAGGCCUUCGGGUUGUAAAGCACUUUCAGUGGGGAAGAAAGCCUUGGGGCUAAUACCCUCGAGGAAGGACAUCACCCACAGAAGAAGCACCGGCUAACUCCGUGCCAGCAGCCGCGGUAAUACGGAGGGUGCGAGCGUUAAUCGGAAUUACUGGGCGUAAAGCGCGCGUAGGCGGUCUGAUAAGCCGGUUGUGAAAGCCCCGGGCUCAACCUGGGAACGGCAUCCGGAACUGUCAGGCUAGAGUGCAGGAGAGGAAGGUAGAAUUCCCGGUGUAGCGGUGAAAUGCGUAGAGAUCGGGAGGAAUACCAGUGGCGAAGGCGGCCUUCUGGACUGACACUGACGCUGAGGUGCGAAAGCGUGGGUAGCAAACAGGAUUAGAUACCCCGAGUC
Molecule: ribosomal RNA, 463 nt
Filed under: Vreelandella stevensii
Lineage: Bacteria; Pseudomonadati; Pseudomonadota; Gammaproteobacteria; Oceanospirillales; Halomonadaceae
Description: partial 16S ribosomal RNA
Rfam family: Bacterial small subunit ribosomal RNA
Source: RNAcentral